UUGAGGAUGAGAUGGGCGAAUGCUCAUAUGGUUAUCCAAACCAGCUUGAUGAGCCAAAGCAUAAACUGAGGCACUCUUUGUCGUUAUCGCUGACACUUAUCAUCUUUAUAAGUCUGGUCUAGAACUUAUGUAGGUGAGAUUGUAGAUAAGACUUAGUUAUGUGAUUGUAUAUUCUCUGCACAAUGCUUUAUAUCCAAGAGAGAGCUACACUUUCUACAUUUGGAGGAUUUGGAGGUCCAACAGAAGUUACUUGGGGUAGGAAUUUCUUAAGUUUUAUAUGUCUGAACAUCAGGUCAAGAAAGGUGAAGAUGUGAUCCAAAGCUGGUCACAAGUUUUGACUUUAAUGUUGCCUUUACUUAACUGGGCUUUCAUUGUAUGUUUGAGCAGAUAACGGGAAGGCAAGUUGGUGUAAAGAUAGUGGAGAACAAACGCGCAUUGCCGUUUAGAACAGCUCAGUUUGAGCUCGAGCUCGAGUUCGAGAAAGGAAACUGCAAGGUCACUGAGAUAAUCGAACUGAGCAUUAAGCACACGUUCAAUGCCUAAACGGAACAUUCUACAAUCUAAGUGGGAAGAUCUACCAUGGGGAAUCGGCUUCGGAGAAGUUUCUAAGAUUGAAUGAACCUGUUUUGGUUUCACCAUGAAAAGAAGGAGAAUUUCCUAGAAAUGUCUGUGAAUGUAUGUGAUACCGAAUGAUGUGAUGAUGAGUCUAACUUUUUAUAACAAUAUUGAAUCCUGGUUCGGUA
Molecule: long non-coding RNA, 743 nt
Organism: Raphanus sativus (radish)
Lineage: Eukaryota; Viridiplantae; Streptophyta; Magnoliopsida; Brassicales; Brassicaceae
Exons: 2
Source: RefSeq, a predicted model, not a curated record